CGUAACAAGGUCUCCGUAGGUGAACCUGCGNNNNGAUCAUUACACAAAUAUGAAGGCGGGCUGGAACCUCUCGGGGUUACAGCCUUGCUGAAUUAUUCACCCUUGUCUUUUGCGUACUUCUUGUUUCCUUGGUGGGUUCGCCCACCACUAGGACAAACAUAAACCUUUUGUAAUUGCAAUCAGCGUCAGUAACAAAUUAAUAAUUACAACUUUCAACAACGGAUCUCUUGGUUCUGGCAUCGAUGAAGAACGCAGCGAAAUGCGAUAAGUAGUGUGAAUUGCAGAAUUCAGUGAAUCAUCGAAUCUUUGAACGCACAUUGCGCCCUUUGGUAUUCCAAAGGGCAUGCCUGUUCGAGCGUCAUUUGUACCCUCAAGCUUUGCUUGGUGUUGGGCGUCUUGUCUCUAGCUUUGCUGGAGACUCGCCUUAAAGUAAUUGGCAGCCGGCCUACUGGUUUCGGAGCGCAGCACAAGUCGCACUCUCUAUCAGCGAAGGUCUAGCAUCCAUUAAGCCUUUUUUUCAACUUUUGACCUCGGAUCAGGUAGGGAUACCCGCUGAACUUAAGCAUAUCA
RNAcentral lists this ribosomal RNA (570 nucleotides) under uncultured fungus. Its description in RNAcentral is "eukaryotic LSU rRNA". The stretch from base 208 to 361 matches the Rfam family "5.8S ribosomal RNA". Lineage: Eukaryota; Fungi. The record is from RNAcentral.